RNAcentral lists this ribosomal RNA (460 nucleotides) under uncultured bacterium. Its description in RNAcentral is "partial 16S ribosomal RNA". It matches the Rfam family "Bacterial small subunit ribosomal RNA", at positions 338 to 795 of the family's 1533-position model. The record is from RNAcentral.
CCUACGGGUGGCAGCAGUGAGGAAUAUUGGUCAAUGGACGAGAGUCUGAACCAGCCAAGUCGCGUGAAGGAUGACUGCCCUAUGGGUUGUAAACUUCUUUUGUAUGGGAAUAAAAUGUUCCACGUGUGUGCUUUUGUAUGUACCAUAUGAAUAAGGAUCGGCUAACUCCGUGCCAGCAGCCGCGGUAAUACGGAGGAUCCGAGCGUUAUCCGGAUUUAUUGGGUUUAAAGGGAGCGUAGGUGGAUUGUUAAGUCAGUUGUGAAAGUUUGCGGCUCAACCGUAAAAUUGCCGCUGAAACUGGCAGUCUUGAGUACAGUAGAGGUGGGCGGAAUGCGUGGUGUAGCAGUGAAAUGCUUAGAGAUCACGCAGAACUCCGAUUGCGAAGGCAGCUCACCGGACUGCAACUGACACUGAGGCUCGAAAGUGUGGGUAUCAAACAGGAUUAGAUACCCGAGUAGUC